CAGAUCCUUUAAUAAUAAAGAAUGGGUGGAAAUAUUCUCACAUCAUGCUGCAUAACAGUACAUUUCAGCUGUAACAAAACAAAUCUGAUGAAAGCUUCAACCAGGAGAAUAGGAAAGGAUGUCAAGGCCAAAGAGAAGGCCAUAUAACAAAUAGUUGCUGAAUUCAUGAAGACUGGGAUGAUACAGUACUUUUCGACUCUUAUGUACCAUAUCUAAACAUCAUUUGAGGAUCCCUUUCUAAGAAAAGAAGAAUUUGCAUAUUCAAAGACUCUUUAGUUUAUUGUUUGUUUGUAUUUUGUUUAACGUUCUUCUUGAGAAUUUUUUACUCAUAUGGGGAUGCCAACAUUUGCCGAUGGAGAGCUGCAAAUUUUGUCCUUUACUUGGCACACAUGGCUAAUUGAGCAAUGAGGGAUCUUUUUGGUGCUAGCAUCUACUGCAACACAGGACCUCUGUAUAUACAGUCUUAACUCUAUGUCCGACAGUGGGAUUUCGAACCAGCAAUUUAAUGAUCAACUCCUUACUCAUGACUCUUGAGCAGACGCUCUUGCCACUGCACCACGCAGGUGACUUCAUAGGUUGUAAAAUAAUAAGAUAGGAUUUAUAACUUAAAACUGGUGUUUUUAAUAAAUUCAGUCACAGUAUAGAAAUGUUUGGAAUA
Molecule: long non-coding RNA, 658 nt
Organism: Saccostrea cuccullata (small rock oyster)
Lineage: Eukaryota; Metazoa; Mollusca; Bivalvia; Ostreida; Ostreidae
Exons: 3
Source: RefSeq, a predicted model, not a curated record